Molecule: non-coding RNA, 282 nt
Organism: Pelobates cultripes (western spadefoot toad)
Lineage: Eukaryota; Metazoa; Chordata; Amphibia; Anura; Pelobatidae
Source: the annotation of a GenBank genome assembly
CCUUUAAGUAGAUAGCUCCCUAAUACCAUGGGAAGUUAUCUACUUAUUCAUUCCUGUCAUUACAUGACUGGCUAAGUAACUUACAUUUUAUAUGAAUGUGUGUUACUUGAAUGUUGUAAGUGUUGCAAAUGCUUACAGCUGAAUCCUGGCUAUGUUUGUAUACUUUUAAUUUAAAAUUGUAUACAGUGUAACAUUCUUCUUCUUCCACUGGGUAAGUAUAUUAGUACUUAGGCAAAACUGUGCUUCGGAACUUUGUCAAUUCAGCACUUCGGCAACUUCGGC